CGNCGUCCGAGUUGUAAUCUCGAGAAGUGUUUUCCGUGAUAGACCGCAUACAAGUCUCUUGGAACAGAGCGUCAUAGUGGUGAGAACCCAGUACACGAUGCGGAUGCCUAUUACUUUGUGAUACACUUUCGAAGAGUCGAGUUGUUUGGGAAUGCAGCUCAAAUUGGGUGGUAAAUUCCAUCUAAAGCUAAAUAUUGGCGAGAGACCGAUAGCGAACAAGUACCGUGAGGGAAAGAUGAAAAGCACUUUGGAAAGAGAGUUAACAGUACGUGAAAUUGUUGGAAGGGAAACACAUGCAGUGAUACUUGCUAUUCGGGGCAACUCGAUUGGCAGGCCCGCAUCAGUUUUUCGGGGCGGAAAAUCGUAGAGAGAAGGUAGCAGUUUCGGCUGUGUUAUAGCUCUUUACUGGAUUCGCCCUGGGGGACUGAGGAACGCAGCGUGCUUUUAGCAUGAGCUUCGGCUUAUCCACGCUUAGGAUGCGGGUUUAUGGCUGUAUAUGACCCGUCUUGAAAACAC
Molecule: ribosomal RNA, 516 nt
Filed under: Sporobolomyces pararoseus
Lineage: Eukaryota; Fungi; Basidiomycota; Microbotryomycetes; Sporidiobolales; Sporidiobolaceae
Description: eukaryotic LSU rRNA
Rfam family: Eukaryotic large subunit ribosomal RNA
Source: RNAcentral